RNAcentral lists this ribosomal RNA (1560 nucleotides) under Cronobacter turicensis. Its description in RNAcentral is "partial 23S ribosomal RNA". It matches the Rfam family "Bacterial large subunit ribosomal RNA", at positions 690 to 2234 of the family's 2925-position model. Lineage: Bacteria; Pseudomonadati; Pseudomonadota; Gammaproteobacteria; Enterobacterales; Enterobacteriaceae. The record is from RNAcentral.
GGGCGUUAAGUUGCAGGGUAUAGACCCGAAACCCGGUGAUCUAGCCAUGGGCAGGUUGAAGGUUGGGUAACACUAACUGGAGGACCGAACCGACUAAUGUUGAAAAAUUAGCGGAUGACCUGUGGCUGGGGGUGAAAGGCCAAUCAAACCGGGAGAUAGCUGGUUCUCCCCGAAAGCUAUUUAGGUAGCGCCUCGUGAAUUCAUCUCCGGGGGUAGAGCACUGUUUCGGCUAGGGGGCCAUCCCGGCUUACCAACCCGAUGCAAACUGCGAAUACCGGAGAAUGUUAUCACGGGAGACACACGGCGGGUGCUAACGUCCGUCGUGAAGAGGGAAACAACCCAGACCGCCAGCUAAGGUCCCAAAGUCAUGGUUAAGUGGGAAACGAUGUGGGAAGGCCCAGACAGCCAGGAUGUUGGCUUAGAAGCAGCCAUCAUUUAAAGAAAGCGUAAUAGCUCACUGGUCGAGUCGGCCUGCGCGGAAGAUGUAACGGGGCUAAACCAUGCACCGAAGCUGCGGCAGCGACACUAUGUGUUGUUGGGUAGGGGAGCGUUCUGUAAGCCGUCGAAGGUGUGCUGUGAGGCAUGCUGGAGGUAUCAGAAGUGCGAAUGCUGACAUAAGUAACGAUAAAGCGGGUGAAAAGCCCGCUCGCCGGAAGACCAAGGGUUCCUGUCCAACGUUAAUCGGGGCAGGGUGAGUCGACCCCUAAGGCGAGGCCGAAAGGCGUAGUCGAUGGGAAACAGGUUAAUAUUCCUGUACUUGGUGUUACUGCGAAGGGGGGACGGAGAAGGCUAUGUUAGCCGGGCGACGGUUGUCCCGGUUUAAGCGUGUAGGCUGACUUUCCAGGCAAAUCCGGAAAGUUAAGGCUGAGGCGUGAUGACGAGGCACCACGGUGCUGAAGUAACAAAUGCCCUGCUUCCAGGAAAAGCCUCUAAGCAUCAGGUAACAUCAAAUCGUACCCCAAACCGACACAGGUGGUCAGGUAGAGAAUACCAAGGCGCUUGAGAGAACUCGGGUGAAGGAACUAGGCAAAAUGGUGCCGUAACUUCGGGAGAAGGCACGCUGACAUGUAGGUGAAGCCCCUGCGGGUGGAGCUGAAGUCAGUCGAAGAUACCAGCUGGCUGCAACUGUUUAUUAAAAACACAGCACUGUGCAAACACGAAAGUGGACGUAUACGGUGUGACGCCUGCCCGGUGCCGGAAGGUUAAUUGAUGGGGUUAUCGCAAGAGAAGCUCCUGAUCGAAGCCCCGGUAAACGGCGGCCGUAACUAUAACGGUCCUAAGGUAGCGAAAUUCCUUGUCGGGUAAGUUCCGACCUGCACGAAUGGCGUAAUGAUGGCCAGGCUGUCUCCACCCGAGACUCAGUGAAAUUGAACUCGCUGUGAAGAUGCAGUGUACCCGCGGCAAGACGGAAAGACCCCGUGAACCUUUACUACAGCUUGACACUGAACAUUGAGCCUUGAUGUGUAGGAUAGGUGGGAGGCUUUGAAGCGUGGACGCCAGUCUGCGUGGAGCCAACCUUGAAAUACCACCCUUUAAUGUUUGAUGUUCUAACCUGGCGCC